UAGAUUGGCCUUGAAACCUAGGAUCCUUC
This 29-nucleotide non-coding RNA is filed under the name Mus musculus (house mouse). Lineage: Eukaryota; Metazoa; Chordata; Mammalia; Rodentia; Muridae. The record is from RNAcentral.